This 7155-nucleotide long non-coding RNA is filed under the name Aquilegia coerulea. Its description in RNAcentral is "long non-coding RNA (ACOE_LNC000121)". The record is from RNAcentral. Lineage: Eukaryota; Viridiplantae; Streptophyta; Magnoliopsida; Ranunculales; Ranunculaceae.
GAGCUUCCAACUUUCAGCUGCUGUUUGAAUGCAUAGUACAUUAAUACCUCAGUCGAGAAAGUUCAAAUGGUGUGCAGUUUGAAUGGUUACUUGAGAAGUUCGAAUUUUUAGUACGAGUUAUGCCUCAGUCAAGAAAGAGAUGGAAGAAGCAAUUCAAAAUAUUCAAAAGGACGUUAAGACCUUAACAGCAGGUAUGUCUGAAUUUAUCUCAAUUGUCAUAUUUCACCUUGUGCUUGCACAGGCAUUUUGAAAGGUGCGGUCCAGAAUAUACCUCUGAAUAUAUCCGUCAUGCUUUUUCAUAAUUUAAAUGUGGAGGGCCAUUGAUUUGGUAAUGUGUCACAGUGUCAGAGAGUUGUAGUAAAAUAUCAUAUUUAACUAUUUAUUAUUUCUAGAACAUGCAAUUUGGGGGUUGGUGUAUUUUCUGUUGUUUGGAUUGGGUGAAAAUAUACCUCAUCUUAUGGUGUAUUGUUUUUCCCGAAGAUCAUAUUAGCCUAUUUCCUUCUAGUUCUUCGUUAUCACAGAGUAGUAAGACAGAUAAAAUUGUUCUUGCAAUUUUAUUAACCCGUGGCCGUUUUUUAGCACUCUAAACUCAGGGAUCUCUUCCCAAAUGUACCCGCAAUAGUGAUUUUUAAACCAAUUAUUUUUUAACCAUUAUUACAUGGAAAUUUUGUUGAACUACACAAUUUUUUGCAUGUCUGUGGGUUGACUCCAAUGUAUAUGUCAGAUUUCACUUUUAGGUUACUACUAUUGCAUCUGUUACUUUUGCAAAAAGGGGUGUGCUUUCCCGGUUUUGAUUGUUGUGGGGUGGUGGGCGAGGGGAAAUGGGUUUGGUUCUUAACUUUUGUUCUGUUGUCAGCAAUUCUGGACUCCAGUCCUCUAUCCUUACAUAGAUGCUUCCAUUAGCAAUAGACCCUCCCUAAUACAGGAAAACAAAUUACAGGUUUAGAUACAUGUGAUUAAUAUUUUGCAUUUGAAGUCGAGUUGGGGUUCUUGUUUAUAGUGUUUUGUUGGGACAAAAAAGAAAACAAAAUGACCGUAUAUUGAUGGAGUCCCUCUGUAGAAAACAAGUUCAGAUUUGGCAGUCAUUCUGUGGGAGGUCAAUUCUUUUGGAUUUCGUAUUCAAGAAAACUUCUUGAGAACUUUUGUAUCAUUAUUCUGUAAAAGACUAAAGAUCAUAUUUAGUAAUAAAAGUAAGGUGCGUGACCUAAACAUGUUGAUAUUCAUCUAAAUAUUGUCCUUUUUUCACUAAGUGCACGCAAAAAAACCUAGAAAACUCACAACUAGAAAUAUAGAGACAUUCACGAAUCACGCAAAUUCUAUAAAAUAAGGAGGGAUAAACUAUUCUUUCUUCUAAUGCAUAAAGAUUAAGUGUUAGUUCAAAUUGUUGGACUCUUUCUCCAGGAAAAAGGUAUGGAGUGUGUGGAAUUUCUAGAAAGUAGAUUUUAACUUUCUAUGAUAAUUAUUAGACUUUGUUAUAUCGCGGUUUUAUUUAGAAUCAUGUAUUCAUUUCGUGGUGUUACAUAUAGAGAGUCAAAGAAAAGUCUUUGAUACAAAUCCAUAAAACCCAAAUUUUGUGGUCCAAAACUUAACUACAGUAACAACAAAUUUGUGUUUUAAAACCAAACUAUACCAACAACAUUUUUAAAAGAUGGUGUGCUAGCUAUAGGUGACGAUUUCAGUGAUGCUAGCUUAGUGAGCGCAGUUUCUCAACCUAGGUUGAACGAAGAGGUUAGGCCAUGUUCCCUUGAGCAAGGAAAUGAAACUCCUUACACAGUUCUUCAAGGGACUAGCGCAAGUAAUGAAAAUGAAGUGAUGGCUCAUGUCUAAAUUGCUAAUCUAUUAUACUCUAUUAAAGCAGAAAAUACCCCUAAGAAAAUAUCUCUUCAAUCAGGCUAUCAAUUAGAUUGAAAUUGAUAGCCUAAUUGAAGAGAAUUUUGAUUAAGUUUGGGUAUAUUUGUAAGUACGCAAAAUUGGACCACCCAUCACAGAUAUAAUCAAACCCAGUUGGACUAAAUCACGGGCAUAAUUAAGCCCAGUCCAAAACAACUUAAAGUGAACCAAUCCCAAAUAUAACCAAGUCCAGCCUGUGCAAUGCACUAGUGAUGAACUUAAAGGUGAGUGUUGUAGGGGAGCCGAGGAUAUUAAGAAGAUCCUAGAACUCCCUCAUGGUGAGGUUGAUCCCACUACUAUCAUGAUUAAGCAAGUGUUGGACUAAUAAAAAAAUAGAUAAGUCAGGCACGUGGAUGAUUAUAUCAAGAUGGUCUGGGACGAUGGUAGACUCAUGAUAAGGAGCAUUCUAGAUCAUUUGGAGGUCUUGACAUUGUGCAAACUCACUUACGUAGUGUGCAUUCCGAGAUCAUAAUGAAGUUGUCCAAGGAAGGAGGCCGUGGGGUGCAAACUAGAAACUCCAGGAAGCAAUACAAUUAAAUUUUGAGCUAGUAUACAUGCUUAGAUUAUCGACUCACAUUCCACUUUCGAGGUUGUGUGCUUUUAUAGUUGGAAUCUAACCUUGUUGAAUACAGUUUGUAAUUUUAUAGGAGAUGUUAGUUGUAAAGCCUCUUCUGAGAAAAUAAUUCUGUUGGGCUCUGCCAUAAUUUUAUAGGGGAUGUUAGUUGCCUUUUCAGGAAUAAAGAAAUGUAGUUGCCUCUUUGCAUCAGUGGAAGAUCCUAGUGUCCAACAAACCAUUGUAAAGAAGCAAAAGGGACAAAAUCUGGGAAACUCAAUUCCUAGGCCCACCAUAGGCUCGUACAGAGACAAGACCCAGUGACAGAUUCAUUUCCAGAGUAAGAUCGAGUGGAAUCUGUCCCGGAAGUGGGGUUCCCAGACUCCCUACGCUACGGUAACACCGCCAUAUGAUACGGAUACUCUUCUACUUUGGAUCUUCCUUUGAAUCUUGAUAACCUUACCCCGGAACAAUGCCAUUAAGCUUCCCUGGUCCCGACAUGCCCUCCAAUUAUAUCUUCCUGGGCGAGGAAGAACAGCGGAGGCAACCUCCACUCGUCAACUACCUUUACUUUAGAGAUGGGAGCAUUUGGGUAGAGUUGUAAUAUUUUUGUUGCAUUAAAAAAAUACGAAGUUAGAAAGGAGCACAACUGCUCGUUUUCCUUCUUGAUUAAGGUACUCUGCAUGUAGUCUUCCAAUCAUUGUUUGUUACUCCAUAGAAGCUAGUUCUUUAGUUUUUCACUUCUUCCAUAAUUAUCCUCUAUUUUCGAUCAUUCACUUUUCAAUUUUUCCUUCUCUCAGCAAGAGGGGGAAAAAAGAUGAACAUGAGAAGGGUGAAAAUAUUAUUCCAAUUGAAUAAUCCUUAUACAACAAAAUAAUUGGCUUUGUUGCUUUUAACAGGUGAAAUAUGUUGCAGAUGACUCACAACGGUCUGGGCAGUGGGACCUGGAUCUGAUGUACUAGCUGAGUGUGUAGGACAAGAAGGUGAAAUGGUUCUUCCAUUUCAGGGAAUUAAUUUAGUGCAGGUAUUAUGUUUGUUAUAUUCUUUUUAUGUAUAAAAUGUUGCAUGCUAUUCGUCAGAUUUAUGCACAUAUUCAAUUAUUGAUCUCGUUGUUAGAUUAGCAAGAAGUCCCUCCUGGAAUUGUAGAUAAUCAAGUGAGAUUUUUAUGAUGUUAAAACAUAAAUAGUGGAAUUUCAGGCUUGUACCAAGAUAUUCGGAAUUUGUGAGAAAUUUCUGAAAUCGGCAUUGUUUGCCAUUUGAAUGAGAUUAGGAUGAAUGGAUGAUGCAACAUUUUUUCUCAAUCCAGUGAUAAGAGAUCUCGAGAUAGCUAUUAAAGAUGAAACAAAUGAUUUUACAUUUAAAAGCACACUAAGAUUCAUACAUAUUGUCAUGAACAACUUUGUAAUGUGUUCUAUAGGCUAUGUGAUAGACUAAGAGCUUGUGGACUAGCUGAUUGAUGCUUGGUAAAAGCAAGAACAAGUGGCAAUGUCGUCAUUAAUGACUUUUAUCUACAUGCAAAUUAUAGCUUUAGGGACAAUGUGAAAGUUAUGACUAUCUGUUUGGCCGAAACAAAUGAAUGGGACUCUUGUCUCUUACUCGCAUCAUGUCCAGUGGUUAAUAGGAAUGUCACUAUUUUAUGGAAUCUGGAUUAACUAAUUUAUGAGCUUUUAGUCUAUCAUAGUUUGUGAAAUGUAUCUCUAUUGAAAUCGAGUUGUCCACGCUAAUUUGUACUCCUCUCAAUGACAUUUAUGCAAGACCAUUUUUCUUUUCCAUCUUAUCUCCCUUAGUUGCUAUGUGCAGCUACUCGUCAACAUAAUGGUUAAUUAAUCCCUAUUUUGAACAUGCCGGCAUCCUAGCAUACCAAACAAAUAUUCAAACAAACAAUCAAACUUUUUAACUCACAAUGAAAAAUCAUAAUUAAUAACUUCGACUAAUAAUCUCCUGACAAUAUUAAUUUAUGACGCAGAAUAUAUCAACUUUGAUAAGUAGGAAACAGUAACAUCCUAGUAUCCUACGCAAGAUCAUUUUUCUGUCUUCGUCUCUAAUUAAUUCUCUAUACAAGCUAUAUUUGGUUUCUGUUCUCAUGUAACUUUGUUGUUCUCGUCUUGUUCAUUAUUUGGUCAUGUCUAUCCAUCUAGAACUGUGAGCUAAUUCAACAGCUCCAUAUCUUCUUGGGUGUCUUUGGUUUUGCAUAUUUAGUCUUCAGAUUUAGUAGUGAGUUAAACAAUAACCCCAUAUGUCCCCAGGAACAUGUGAUGAUCAUUUGUUGGGUGAAACUUUUGACCUCCAUAGAUUGGUCUUCUGUUUAGAAUUCCUGACCUGCCCUUGCCUAGACUACUAAAAGAAUAGACUAGAGAGUAGAAACUACUAUCAUAAUGUUGGUAUGCUUUUGAUCGUCAUUAUCUGUUUGCUCUAGUAGUUAACCUAGGUGAGAUUGACCAGAUGGUUUACACUUUAUCAUUGCUAGAUGGCUGUCAGUUGGCUCCAGUCUAUUCAUUUAAAGAGUGUAUUCUCUCCGGUUAAAUUCAGAGUGGUGGGUUGCCCAACAUUUACUAAUACUAUGUGGUGCAAUACUGCAUGGAAGAAGUUAUCUAAACUGAGUUGAUGAUAUCAGGGCCUCUAACUUUAACUUUAAGUACCGAACCUGAAGGUCUAUAGUUACAAACUACUUUCAAGUUUCAAUUAAGGGCAACACAAUCCCCGAUUCAGAAUAAUUGGUAUUUAUUGUAAUAGUAGUGACUUGUCUAACACACUACUAGUAGUAGUGACUUGUCUAACACACUUCUUUCAUUAUAUAUACAAGUUAUGUCUCAUAUUGAGAUAUAUAACUUUCCACCCUAAUAUUCUACUUCUACUUGGUAUCAGUUGCUUGUAGAAACAACACCCAACCGUCAACAAAACCUAAACCCAAGCCGCCACCACCACCACCGCUACCAUCACCAUUACCACCUUGCCUUCGGGCUUCUUUCUUCUAUGAGCAGCUGGUAAUCCCUGCUCUUCCUUCACCGUGUCUGCAGCAGGACAUCCCUGCAGACGGCUUCCUUUGUUGGUAGUCAUCCUUGUUGCUAAGGGUAUCAACUGGUGUUCGUCUCCCACCGUGACUACCUCCACUGUUUCUGUGAGUUCAUCCUCUUUUACUGUUGUUUUGUGGACUGAUUUGCUGCGUUACAUCAUUCAUUCUGUGGGUAUUUUCUGGUGGUCUAUUUUGUGAUAUGACUAAAAGUCCGUCUUCUGCUGAGUUGCCAUCCACUAAGGCUAUGGAAACUGACUCUGGUUUACCCAACAUUCAGUCUACCCAGAAGAUUACAACCAUUCUUCUAAAUGGGCGUAAUUUUUCAUCGUGGUCACGUUCUGUUCGUUUGUUCUUGGGUGCUAGAAAUAAGAUUGAUUGGUUGGUUCCAGGGAAGAUACCUUGUCCAUCUGAGGCUGAUUCAACUUAUUCUACUUGGUUUAUGACCAAUUGCAUGAUUCUUGGUUGGUUUUUUAACUCUAUGGAACCUGACAUAUACGAGUUAUUCACAUUCUAUGAUUCUGUUGAGAGUUUGUGGGCUGCUUUAUCUGAGAUGUAUGCUACCACGAACAAUGAGGUUCGGGUAUAUGAGUUGUACCGUGAAUUAGGCCAAGUUUCUCAGGGUUCAAUGUCUGUUACUACCUACUUUGGGUAUUUGAAGAAACGUUGGGAAGAGCUUGCUAUCUAUACCGCUUUGUCUAGCAUUUUAGGUAUGACUUCCAACUAUCGCUGCUGCUAUCCACAAACGGGAAGAAAAACAAAGAGUUCAUCAGUUUCUCAUUGGUCUUCAUCCUGACUUUGAAGCCAUUCGUACUCAAGUCCUUAACACUACACCUCUUCCAACUCUUGGGGAGGCCUAUGCAGUGAUUGAGAAACAUGAGCGUCGUACACGGAUCACAGUUCCUUUGGUAGUUUCUGACACACCAUCUUCAGCUGAUCAGAUGGCCUUUGUAGCCAAAUAUCAUCCUCCAACACCUCAGUAUUCUCAGGGCCUGCCAGGAGCCCCUAGUGCUAAUGCACAAUCUGGUUGCACUACUGGUCGUAAUCGACCAUACUGUGAUCACUGCCGGGCUGAUGGCCAUUUUCGACAAACGUGCUAUCAACUACAUCCAGAACUUAGGCCAAAGAAGGGGUCUGGAAAAUCAGGUGGUGGUAAACCUCGUACUGCUGCCAUUUCUGAGGUUCCUAGCAGUUCUGCUUCAGGGGGAGUUCCUACUGAUUCAGGUUCUUUGAGUCAGCGAUUAGAUGAGGUUCUUUUUUUCCUCCGGGAGGGAAAACCAGGGUCUACUACCAUGCCUACAGCUACAGGUAUACCUUCUGCUUUCCAUGUUAGUUCUGGUUCUACACCUCCUGCUUGGAUCCUUGAUUCAGGGGCCAAUGAGCAUAUGACUGGUGAGUAUAGUUUAUUGACUAAGCAUACCCCUUUUUCUCAUCAUGUUCGCAUUGCUGAUGGCUCGUAUAACUCUAUUACUCGUAAGGGCACUGUUCAUUUGUCUCCUCAAAUUACUUUAGAGUCUGUAUUGCAUGUUCCCCGUUUUGCUCUAAAUCUUUUAUCAGUUAGUCGCCUUGCUAAAGCUCUUCAUUGUGCUGUUGUAUUCUUACCUGAUUCUUGUUAUCUUCAGGACCUGAGUACGAAGCGGAUUUUUGGCAGGGGGUAUGAGCGCGAUGGGUUGUACUAUUUUGGUAAUCCCCCACCGGUUCC